GGGUUGUAGCUCAGUGGUAGACCGCUUGCCUAGUAUGUGUGAGGCACUGGGUUCUAUUCUCAGCACUGCUUA
Molecule: transfer RNA, 72 nt
Filed under: Marmota monax (woodchuck)
Lineage: Eukaryota; Metazoa; Chordata; Mammalia; Rodentia; Sciuridae
Description: tRNA.Thr
Source: RNAcentral